UCUUGGCACCUGGCAUCGCGGGCACUCAGAGCCACUCAGCCUGCCGCCUGCAGCUGGAGAGUCAGAGGGCAGGCCCGGGAGGGCAGCGGAGCGGCCAGGGCACAGGCACCCACCAGGAGAGCAGUGCGUCCUCUGCUGAGGUGGUAGUAACGAAGGGAAGCUUUCGGUUUUCCACGAACUGCUACACUCUCUGGAUCUGUUAGGCUGAGUGUGGAUUCAAAUAUGGCUUUCAUGCUGAUGACCAGCCAAACCCCAGAAGCAGAGCCCCUGCAGACCUACUGCUGACCACAGGUGCACAAAGAAGCCUGGGUGAGGCCAGAAGAACCAUCCAGACACCUGCUCCCUUUGGCCCAACCCAAGUGGAAGCCAGAGGGUGAGAAGCUGCAUGAUGGGAACUGCGUCUGGCCGUCCGGAGCUGGAAACAGGACAGAGAAGGGCAGACUGCACAGGAAGGACAAAGUGAAUAACCAGAACACAGGCCCAUGCAAUCUCUUUCUAACGCGCUCAUUUUUUCACUGUGACUCACAGAGGGGUGCCAACCUCUAUCCCAGUGCUAGGUCCUGUGCCUUCCGCCUUGGCCCUGUAGCCUCCGGGCCCCCAUGAGGGGAGAGGACUAGACCAGACCAGCAUAGCCCUGCAUGCCUGCCCUGGGGGUUUCUCCCCUCUUCCCCUGAGCAACAAGCUUGAAGAAACGUCCAUAAACUUGGUUUGGCCUCGGCCACCUUGGCAUAUAUCUCUCGGGAGCAAAUAAGACAACAGCCAAGGAAAUACCUGUGAACAGAAAGGACAUGUAUUAUCUCUCCUGAGAGGUUGAGAGGGGGGCUUCAGGGUUGGCUCAACCGCUUGACCCUAUUCCCACUGAGUGGUUUCUCCCUGCUUCUCCCUUCCCCAGCCCCUGGCAGCCACCAAUGUGUGCUGUCUCUACAGACUCACCUAUUGUGGUUAUUUCACAUAAAAGGAAACCUACAACGUGACCUUUUGUGUCUGGUUUCCUUCAGUUACCAUAAUGCUUUUGCGAUCAGGAUUUCAUUCCUUUGCUCCGGCUGUGGGAUAUUAAACAAUUUGUCUGGCCUUUGUCCCAGGGGAUGAGCUUCUAAAGCGCUGGGGAUCCUGAGUGAAGAAUGUCUUUGUUAUUUAAAUGAGGCCUCUGAAUCUCCUAGAAAACUUCAAGACCAAAAGGCGGUGUGGUGGGCGGGGCUGCUGUGUUUGUGACCACUGUCCUAAGCUUAGCAAAGCUUCAAAUAUUUAUUGAAGACUGGGUGGAAAACCAUCCAGCUCUUAAUAAAUCAACUCAAUAAAAAAGAGGGUUGGAAGUGACACUUGAAGAUUUUCCUCCAUCUUUUAUUUUCCCCUUUAUGGAAAAAAGAAACCACUGCAUUCUCAAAUUUGUUAUUGGCACCUGUGAAAAACCCUGGAAAAUAAAUUUAAAAUGGAAAUCCUGCUCUAUUCACACUGUUAUGUAACUUGAUUUUUCAGACAUAUGUGAU
Myotis brandtii (Brandt's bat) is the source of this 1487-nucleotide long non-coding RNA. RefSeq lists it as uncharacterized. The transcript has 4 exons. The record is from RefSeq and is a predicted model, not a curated record. NCBI's taxonomy places the organism in Eukaryota, Metazoa, Chordata, Mammalia, Chiroptera, Vespertilionidae.